RNAcentral lists this ribosomal RNA (620 nucleotides) under bacterium. RNAcentral describes it as "bacterial SSU rRNA". It matches the Rfam family "Bacterial small subunit ribosomal RNA", at positions 75 to 680 of the family's 1533-position model. The record is from RNAcentral.
GGAGCUUGCUCCUUUGACGUUAGCGGCGGACGGGUGAGUAACACGUGGAUAACCUACCUAUAAGACUGGGAUAACUUCGGGAAACCGGAGCUAAUACCGGAUAACAUAUUGAACCGCAUGGUUCAAUAGUGAAAGGCGGCUUUGCUGUCACUUAUAGAUGGAUCCGCGCCGUAUUAGCUAGUUGGUAAGGUAACGGCUUACCAAGGCAACGAUACGUAGCCGACCUGAGAGGGUGAUCGGCCACACUGGAACUGAGACACGGUCCAGACUCCUACGGGAGGCAGCAGUAGGGAAUCUUCCGCAAUGGGCGAAAGCCUGACGGAGCAACGCCGCGUGAGUGAUGAAGGUCUUCGGAUCGUAAAACUCUGUUAUCAGGGAAGAACAAAUGUGUAAGUAACUGUGCACAUCUUGACGGUACCUGAUCAGAAAGCCACGGCUAACUACGUGCCAGCAGCCGCGGUAAUACGUAGGUGGCAAGCGUUAUCCGGAAUUAUUGGGCGUAAAGCGCGCGUAGGCGGUUUUUUAAGUCUGAUGUGAAAGCCCACGGCUCAACCGUGGAGGGUCAUUGGAAACUGGAAAACUUGAGUGCAGAAGAGGAAAGUGGAAUUCCUGGGGAAACG